Molecule: transfer RNA, 63 nt
Filed under: Lepidocyrtus fimetarius
Lineage: Eukaryota; Metazoa; Arthropoda; Collembola; Entomobryomorpha; Entomobryidae
Description: tRNA-Glu
Source: RNAcentral
GUUAGCCUAGUUUAAGUCAAAACUCUACAUUUUCAGUGUAAAAAUAAAUAUUUUUGGUUAAUU